Molecule: ribosomal RNA, 104 nt
Filed under: Mastacembelus armatus (zig-zag eel)
Lineage: Eukaryota; Metazoa; Chordata; Actinopteri; Synbranchiformes; Mastacembelidae
Source: RNAcentral
UGAUAUGACCAAGCCCGAUCUGGACCAUCUUGGGAAAUAAGCAGAGUUGGGCCUGGUUGGUACGUGGAUGGGAGGCCACCUUGGAAUACCAGGUGUUGUAAAAG